This 32-nucleotide transfer RNA is filed under the name Anodonthyla boulengerii (Boulenger's climbing frog). Its description in RNAcentral is "partial tRNA-Phe". Lineage: Eukaryota; Metazoa; Chordata; Amphibia; Anura; Microhylidae. The record is from RNAcentral.
GCUGAGAUGGGCCCUAAAAAGCCCCUCGAACA